RNAcentral lists this long non-coding RNA (495 nucleotides) under Phoenix dactylifera (date palm). Its description in RNAcentral is "long non-coding RNA (PDAC_LNC022326)". The record is from RNAcentral. Lineage: Eukaryota; Viridiplantae; Streptophyta; Magnoliopsida; Arecales; Arecaceae.
UCGGCGGUGAGGUCGUCGUACGACCUGGGCUUGCACGCUACCAGACGAAUUAUUGCAUUGGCGUCGGAGGUAUGGCCGAGAUCAGAGACUUAUUAUAGUCGACUAGACUCUGCAGGGCUGGCUUGCCGUGGAGAGUUGAGGAUCCGUAGAUGACAGGAGCCAUGCGCAUUAAUUGUGGAGUAAGCCGGAGAUCCGCAUUAAUUGUGGAGUAAGCCGGAGAUCCGCAUUAAUUGUGGAGUAAGCCGGAGAUCCGCAUUAAUUGUGGAGUAAGCCGGAGAUCCGCAUUAAUUGUUGAGUGAACCGGAGGUUUACAGUGGCCAUGCGCAAUAAAUGCCGGAGGGGCGUCAGGGUAUGGUCCUCGGCCGGACCUCAGAGGGGUAUGGCCGUAGUAGGUGGCUGAUAAGGGUAGACUUUGAACAUCAGGGUUUUCCUAGGUCGGAGGUCUCGAGGUCGGAUGCCUUGAGGUCGGGCGUUCCGAGGUCGGACGUUCCGAGG